This 455-nucleotide ribosomal RNA is filed under the name uncultured bacterium. Its description in RNAcentral is "SSU rRNA". It matches the Rfam family "Bacterial small subunit ribosomal RNA", at positions 26 to 518 of the family's 1533-position model. The record is from RNAcentral.
AGGAUGAACGCUGGCGGCGUGCCUAAUACAUGCAAGUCGAGCGGUAAGGCCCCUUCGGGGGUACACGAGCGGCGGACGGCUGAGUAACACGUAGGAACGUACCCCAAACUGAGGGAUAAGCACCAGAAAUGGUGUCUAAUACCGCAUGUGCUCUUCGGAGUAAAGCUUCGGCGGUUUGGGAGCGGCCUGCGCAUGAUUAGCUUGUUGGUGAGGUAAAAGCUCACCAAGGCGACGAUCAUUAGCUGGUCUGAGAGGAUGAUCAGCCAGACUGGGACUGAGAACGGCCCAGACUCCUACGGGAGGCAGCAGUAGGGAAUUUUCCACAAUGGGCGAAAGCCUGAUGGAGCAACGCCGCGUGCAGGAUGAAGGCCUUCGGGUUGUAAACUGCUUUUAUCUGUGAAGAUUAUGACGGUAGCAGAUGAAUAAGGAUCGGCUAACUCCGUGCCAGCAGCCGC